CCCUUAGAUGUCCUGGGCCGCACGCGCGCUACACUGAGUGUAUGAGAUACGAGUCUGCCUGGUCCGGCAAGGUCUAGGUAAUCGCUAAAAGACACAUCAUGCUUGGGAUAGAUUAUUGCAAAUAUUAAUCUUGAACGAGGAAUUCCUAGUAAGCGCAAGUCAACAGCUUGCGUUGAUUACGUCCCUGCCCUUUGUACACACCGCCCGUCGCUACUACUGAUUGGAUGUUUAAGCGAGGUUCUCGAACUGCUAGCGACUUAGCUUCGGUGAGGUCGCAGUGUGGGAAGUGAACCUAGCUUUGGUGUCUAGAGGAAGUAAAAGUCGUAACA
Molecule: ribosomal RNA, 329 nt
Filed under: uncultured eukaryote
Lineage: Eukaryota
Description: partial 18S ribosomal RNA
Rfam family: Eukaryotic small subunit ribosomal RNA
Source: RNAcentral